RNAcentral lists this ribosomal RNA (232 nucleotides) under uncultured Alphaproteobacteria bacterium. RNAcentral describes it as "partial 16S ribosomal RNA". It matches the Rfam family "Bacterial small subunit ribosomal RNA", at positions 1217 to 1448 of the family's 1533-position model. The record is from RNAcentral. Lineage: Bacteria; Pseudomonadati; Pseudomonadota; Alphaproteobacteria.
CACACGUGCUACAAUGGCGGUGACAAUGGGACGCUAAGGGGCAACCCUUCGCAAAUCUCAAAAAGCCGUCUCAGUUCGGAUUGGGCUCUGCAACUCGAGCCCAUGAAGUUGGAAUCGCUAGUAAUCGUGGAUCAGCAUGCCACGGUGAAUACGUUCCCGGGCCUUGUACACACCGCCCGUCACACCAUGGGAGUUGGUUUUACCUGAAGACGGUGCGCUAACCCGCAAGGGA